This 942-nucleotide long non-coding RNA is filed under the name Lathyrus oleraceus (garden pea). RNAcentral's name for it is "Pisum sativum (pea) long non-coding RNA (PSAT_LNC040052)". The record is from RNAcentral. Lineage: Eukaryota; Viridiplantae; Streptophyta; Magnoliopsida; Fabales; Fabaceae.
CUCGAUGACCAACAGAUGGCAAAACUUCAAUCUAAGUCAGCACUUGAGAGCUCACUUUCAGAGCUAGGCAUUCCUGUCGAGACCUCACAGAAUAAAGAGUCAUCUUCUACACAACCAGAAGGGAAAGGUAGUAAGAAGGGUAAAUCAUCCAAAAAACAAAGGAGAAAAAGUAGCAACAAAUCCAAGCAAAGCCAAGGCCACGUGAAAAGAACCGUGUUUGAGCUCCUCAUGUUUUCAUUUUUUUACUGCAGUAACAAAACACAAAGCAAUUGGCAAGUCAGUUGAAAAUCCAGAAAAUUCCCAAAUUGGAAUAGAAACAAAAUUCAAAGAAAAGUAUGAGUCCAUAUUACCGUUUUUCGAACCUAGCAUCAAAGAGGUCAAUCCAAUUUCUGAACAUCCAAAGUGCUUUGCAGAGUUACUCUUCUGGAAUACCAAAGACACCAAUUGAAACCCUAAUUUGUAAAGCAUAAAUAGAGAACGAAUCAGUAAGGGGGAGGAAUUAACAACAAAAAACACUGGAGGCGGACCAAACCCACAAAAGAAACCUAAAUCCCAAAUCAAAAACCAGUAUUGAAAAAAACUGGGAGGCAGAAAACACAAGAGAACCCUAAUCCCCAAAUAAGGAAUCGAUUGGAAGGAGUGAAGGAGGGAGAUUCGUUACCUGAGUUGUCGUCGCCGUCGAAGGUCCGAAGGUGAGCUCUUUGUUUCUGUUUCAGCCGUGAUUUUUUCGUGUGUGAGAGAUUCGUUGAGGUUGAUGAGCGAUUUUGAGAGAGAGAGGGUUGGACGCGAGAGAGACGAUUGAGUGAGGUUGAGGACGAUUGAGUGAGGUUGAGAGCGAUUGAGAUUGAGAGGGACGCGAUUGAGAAUUUUCUGCUGAGAGCGAUGGCGAGAUAGAGAGAGGAGGACGAUUGGGAUUCUGGACUUUCCUUCGUGUCCUCACCG